Blyttiomyces helicus is the source of this 73-nucleotide non-coding RNA. NCBI's taxonomy places the organism in Eukaryota, Fungi, Chytridiomycota, Chytridiomycetes. The record is from the annotation of a GenBank genome assembly.
UGAUUGGUAGCUCAGUGGAAGAGCAUCUGUACUGGCAGUCAGAGUGUUCCGGGUUCGAAUCCUGCACAAUCUA